RNAcentral lists this ribosomal RNA (465 nucleotides) under uncultured bacterium. RNAcentral describes it as "partial 16S ribosomal RNA". It matches the Rfam family "Bacterial small subunit ribosomal RNA", at positions 338 to 795 of the family's 1533-position model. The record is from RNAcentral.
CCUACGGGCGGCUGCAGUGGGGAAUAUUGCGCAAUGGGCGAAAGCCUGACGCAGCGACGCCGCGUGAGGGAUGAAGGUCUUCGGAUCGUAAACCUCUGUCAGCAGGGAAGAACGGUCACUGUGCUAAUCAGCAGUGAAUUGACGGUACCUGCAAAGGAAGCACCGGCUAACUCCGUGCCAGCCGCCGCGGUAAUACGGAGGGUGCGAGCGUUAAUCGGAAUUACUGGGCGUAAAGCGCUCGUAGGCGGUAUGUCAAGUCAAGGGUGAAAUCCCCGCGCUCAACGUGGGAACUGCCUUUGAAACUGGCAAACUGGAGUGUGUGAGAGGAUAGUGGAAUUCCAGGUGUAGGAGUGAAAUCCGUAGAUAUCUGGAGGAACAUCAGUGGCGAAGGCGACUAUCUGGCACAUAACUGACGCUGAGGAGCGAAAGCGUGGGUAGCAAACAGGAUUAGAUACCCCUGUAGUC